UUCACUCAGCUCCAUCAUGAGGCCUUUGUGGUCUUCCCUCUCGUACAGCCGCAGCCUGUGGGAGACUGUCUACUCGGUCCACAGAAAGAAGGAUGGAAAAAAGCAAAUGAGUCUCUUCCAGAAUUUGUCCAACCAAAGAACAGAUGAACUUGACUACUACAACAGCUUCUUCAUGAUGUCCAAACCCCAAUUUGGCCUCUCUCUGAUCCUUCAUCUAUGCUGCUGUCACAUGGGCCUUCCGGUGAUCUUAUCUGAAGCAUUAAAAGCAAGAACACAAUCUUCAUUCUGUAAGCGCCAGAGUGCUGGAGUGGCAGACAGAAAACGCAAGAGUAAACAAACAAAAACAGAUGGAAAUUAAAGCUCCAGUCCCUACACCUCCCUGGCCACACCUGCCCAGAAGUUCUCCCAGGCCAAGUUUGCUUCUAGAACAACCCUGUUGCAAAGUUAAGGAGCUGUCACACUCCCCAGUCACCCACCGCUGAGUCUAAUGAUUCAUGGGCAGAGCUAGGGCUUUGGGAAUUAAGAUUUGCUUACAAUAAAAUAUCACAUCACUUUAGUGCCUGUUAUUUGAGAAAGCCUUUCUCAAAGGAGAAAACUGAGAGUCAUUGGAAAGUUAAAUGUCAUAUUAUGUAUAUACAGUGAAAGGAAAAUAAAUCUUGGGACCUCAAAAUCACUAAGCUAAAGGGAAAAGUCAAGCCAGGAACUGCUUAGGGCAAACCUGUCUCCCAUUCUAUUCAAAGUCAUCCCUCUGAGGCUCACCUGAGACAAAUGCAUCUCUGAUUGCUUCCUCUCCCCUAUUGUUUAUGUAAAGAUGCAGAGUCAUCGAGCCAGACUAAAUUGUGUAUUCAGUGGAAAGCUGAUCAAGGGCUCAAAGAACCUUUUGUCUCUUAUCUACUGUUUUUUUUUUUGAGACAGAGUUUCGCUGUUGUUGUCCAGGCUGUAGUACAAUGGCGCAAUCUCAGCUCACUGCAACCUCCACCUUCUGGGUUCAAGUGAUUCUCCUGCCUGAGCCUCCCGGGUAGCGGGAUUACAGGCGCCCACCACCACGAUUAGCUAAUAUUUUGUAUUUUUAGUAGAGACGGGCUUUGACUAUGUUGGCCAGGCUGGUCUUAAACUCCGUCAGGAGUUCAGGCGAUCCACCCACCUCAGCCUCCCAAAGUGCUGGGAUCACAGGGGUGAGCCACGCGCCCAGCUCUGUUUCUUAUCCAUGUCUAACCAGGAAGCCCCUACUUCCUGUCUUACCAGACUGAACCAAUUUACAACUUAUACAUAUUGAUUGAUGUCUCAUGUCUCCCUAAAAUGUAUAAAAGCAAACUGUACCCCUGACCACUUUGGGCACAUGUCUCAGGACUUUCUGAGGCUGUGUCAUGGGUGCAUCCUCAACCUUGGCAAAAUAAACCUUCUUUCUGGGUUUUUUUUUUUUUUUGAGAUGGAGUUUCACUCUUGUUGCCCAGGCUGGAGUGCAAUGGCGUGAUCUCGGCUCACCACAACCUCUGCCACCCAAGUUCAAGCAAUUCUCCUGCCUCAGCCUCCCAAGUAGCUGGGAUUACAGGCACGCGCCACCACGCCCAGCUAAUUUUGUAUUUUUAGUAGAGGUUUCUCCAUGUUGGUCAGGCUGGUCUCAAACUCCGGACCUCAGGUGAUCUGCCUGCUUUGGCCUCCCAAAAGUGCUGGGAUUACAGGCAUGAGCCACUGUGCCCAGCCUUGGCAAAAUAAACUUUCUAAAUUGACUGAGACCUGUCUCAGAUAUUUGGGGUUCACUAUUAUAUGCGCACGCACACACACACACACAUAUAUGUAUUUGUUUCUUGAGACAGGGUCUCCCUCUGUCACCUAGGCUGGAGUGCAAUGGCAUGAUCAUGGGUCACAGCCCCCUCAACCUUCUGGGCUCAAGUGACCCUCCCACCUCAGCCUCCUGAGUAGCUGGAACUACAGGCAUGCACCACCACAUCUGGCUAAUUUUCAGUUCAAAUUUCUUUUCUUUUUUUUUUUUUUUUGAGACGGAAUCUUGCUCUGUCACCCAGACUGGAGUGCAGUGGCAUGAUCUCAGCUCAUUGCAACCUACCCUUCCCGGGUUCAAGCGAUUCUCCUGCCUCAGCCUCCCAAGUAGCUGAGACUACAGGCGCGUGCCACCAAGCCCAGCUAAUUUUUGUAUUUUUAGUAGAGAGGGGGUUUCACCAUAUUGGCCAGGGUGGUCUUGAACUCCUGACCUCCUGACCUCGGCCUCCCAAAGUGCUGGGAUUACAGGCGUGAGCCACCGCACCCAGCCUUCAGUUCAAAUUUCAACCUAUCUGACUUUUAAGCUUCCUUUCUAGCCUCCUGCUCUCAACUUAUUUAUUUCCCUCAGCAGCAAGUAUCACCUUCAUUAACUUCUGUUUUUAUGACACUGUAUCCCAUGCCUCCCACACACCACAAUUCUAAGAAUUCUGCAGUCACUGCCCAGAAAAUAUGGAAUCUCAAACUUUAGUUUCAGAUUUGGCCUUUUCUCUAAUUUAUACCUCUAAGUGAGCUAAUAGGUACUGACCAUUAAAUUAGAAUAGAAAUCAGAAGACAGGAUCCUAUCUUCUCAGGAGGAAUAAUCAAAUAGAAAAGUAAGACAAAGCAAGCAAAAGUUUGUUGUUGUUGUUGUUGUUGUUGUUAUUGUCGUUUUGAGAUGGAGUCUCACUCUGUCACCAGGCUGGAGUGCAGUGGCACGAUCUCGGCUCACUGCAACCUCCAUCUCCCGGCUUCAAGCAAGCAAUUCUCCUGCCCCAGCCGCCCGAGUAGCUGGGAUUUAAGAAUAAUGUGAUUAAAUAGGCCGGAUGCCGUGGUUCACACCUGUAAUCCCAGCACUUUGGGAGGCCGAGGCGGGCGGAUCACUUGAGGCCAGGAGUUCGAGAUCAGCCUGGGCAACAUGGUGCAACCUCGUCUCUACUAUGAAUACAAAAAUUGGCUGGGCAUGGUGGUGCAUGCCUGUAAUCCCAACUACUCAGGAGGCUGAGGCAGGGGAAUUGCUUGAACCCGGGAGGCGGAAGUUGCAGUGAGCCGAGAUCAUGCCACUGCACUCCACCCUGGGGGACAGAGCGAGACUCCGCCUCAAAAAAAAAAAAAAAAAAAAAAAGAAUAUCAUGAAAUAGCUUUUAUUUCCAAAAAGAUGGAAGGCAAAGACAGAGCCACACUCACCGGGGGGAUGAGGCAGCAGGAGCGGAUGGAGUCGCUGAGGCCCAUCCAUUGCUGGUAGUUGGGGCAGUCAGUGGUGCAUUCGUAGCUGCGGCCCUGGAAGGCCCUGUCCUCGUAGAAGGUGAUCUGAAAAAUGGAAGAUGUGGGAGCAUGGAGUGAUUGGCCCCCACUGAGGCCACUGCAUUAGGGCCAAGGCUGAGCAUCCGGUACCCAGGACUUACCUUUCCCAUUUUGAAGGAAGUGAGCAGAUGUUUUCUGGUUGCUGUGUGGGACUGCGGGAACGUCACUGUAUGUAUAGCAGCCCUGACUGCUGCCUCCACAGGAAAUCACACAAAAGGGCCCAUUUUGGUGAGUAAGGGGAUUUGCAAGCUCGCUGCUCUCCGUGCCCAGGUCACUGGGGUUGGCUGAAUGGUUUACUCUCAUUCUUUCUGGUAGGUUCGGGUUGUUCUAAUUCACUAAAGCUGUUGUUGCCAUCAAAAUGAAUAGAGUACACUUUUAGUUGAGCAAAAGGAUGGGCGAAAUUCUGUCUCUGUGCUUUUAUUUUAUAGUUUACUCUGCUUAAUUGACUUCUCAAAAGUCAUUAAACUAAGUAAUGAAUUCUGCUCAGGGACUGGUGGUGUUUUUGUGUGUGUGUGUGUGUGUGUUUUAGUUCUAAAAGCCAGAAUUUAAAUAGUAAGGAAUCUUAAAGAAGAGGGAAUCAAGUGAAGUAAUCUGUGAAAGUGUGUUAAAACCCAUAAAGCUUAGUUCAAAUUCAAAAUUCUGUGAUCAGCCAGGCGAGGUGGUGCACACCUAUAAUCCCAGGACUUUGGGAGGCUGAGGCAGGUGGAUUGCUUGAGCUCAGGAGUUAGAGACCAGCCUAGGUAACAUGGUGAGACCCCAUCUCUACAACAAAUACAAAAAUUAGCCCUGCAUGGUGGCGCAUACCUGUAGUCCCAGCUAUUUGGGAGGCUGAGGUGAGAGGAUUGCUUAAGCUCAGGAGGUCGAGGUUGCAGUGAGCCAUGAUUGCACCACUGCACUCCAGCCUGGGCAACAGAGCAAGACCCUGUCGCAAAAAAAAAAAAAAAAAAAUUCUGUGAUCAUCAUUGUUGGUGUUUGGGGGCUUGUCUUGAAUAAAACUGAUACUUGCCUGGAAUUUUGUAGGCUUCUGGGGGCUGGGUAUUAUUUCUUGUUCAUGUCUAUCCCUGAGCCCUAGAGCAGAGGGUUGGCACAUUGCAGGUCCUCAAUAAUUGGCUCUGACCUGAGCAAAAACAGAUAGUUGUGGCUUUCUUCCCCCUUUCAGAUCUUCCUAAGGGCCUAAAUCCCUCCUUCUGCUGGUGGCUGUCCAGAGUCCUGCCUGCUGUUUGGUGUUCCUGCUCUGCCUCAAAUGUUACCACUAAGUGGCUGAUUGGUCUUCUCAAGGCAUGGGACCAAAAGGGCUCAGAGUUGGUCCCUAUUGCUGGCAGAUUGGACAUUCUACAGUGGAAAUAGCUGGAUUAGCCUUAAUAAGUAGAAGUUAAUGCAUAGCCUUCAUCCAUACCACUAUGAACGCUCUCUUAGUGAGCUCACUGCCAGCAGUAGGGUGGCUGAUGGCAGACGCUGACUGGAAUCAAAUGACCAAAUCAUUUUUUCUACUUGGUUGUUUAGUGCCUCUUCAAUGGUGGAUGCCCUACACUGGGCCUUCACAUGGGAUACAACUAUCUUCGCCCUUUGUGCCCAAUCCCAUAUCUCCCUGCACAUUCCUCUACCCCAGACCUUCUUGUCCCUAAUCUUCCAAUCUUUCUCCUUCCAGGCCCUGGACCAGCCAGCCAAGCCACACAUUACUGCUCAAUAAUUCCAUAUAUGCUUGACCUUGGGCUACUUUUCUUUCUGCACCGAGUGAGCAGCCAGGUGCACUACCUCAAGGUUGCCUUUUGGGAGGAUUUCCCUCACUGCUGUCUUUAGGGUGACUCCUGAGUGAGCUAUUCUGCAGCAGCAUUCUAUUUUGGGCUUGUACCCAAAUGCCAUGCCAAUUUAUUAGUGUAUCAAGCUCAGCCUUCCCCCACUCUAUCAGCUGGUCAGAAGGGACCCCUGCAGGCAGUUGUAAGUGUGAGCUGAGAGAGAGCUAUUGCAAUAAUGGUGACUUCAUCCCAUCCCGCAGGGAAGGCUAGGGCUAGAGUUGUCAGGAACUUAGGCAAGUGGACCGGGAAUCUGUGCCUCUGCAUUGCCCCGUAAUUUGAUGUGGGCUGCUGCCAUGGAGAAGUGUAACUUUGGGCAAGGCAGCUUCCUCCAGCAGAAGAAAAUUCUUGGAGACAAACUCAGCUUUAAGCUGUCAGCAUCUGGGAGAAGGAGUGCUUCAGUCCACAGUGGAAGUCCAGGCAGCACCAGAGCGUCCACUACAAGAAGAAAAUAAAGCUGAGAUAACUGCAGUUAACAUUUUGGUGUUUCAUCAUCCCAGCUUUUUUAUAUGUCAAACCCAUGUGUGGUUGUACAGUGUUAUUUAUACUGUGUAGCAUUCUCUUGUUUUCUUCUAAGUCACCUUUCAAAUAAAGUGAUUAGUAAUACU
RNAcentral lists this long non-coding RNA (5680 nucleotides) under Homo sapiens (human). Its description in RNAcentral is "HSALNT0046482". The stretch from base 2932 to 3079 matches the Rfam family "Metazoan signal recognition particle RNA". Lineage: Eukaryota; Metazoa; Chordata; Mammalia; Primates; Hominidae. The record is from RNAcentral.